This is a long non-coding RNA of Dermacentor albipictus, 778 nucleotides long. RefSeq lists it as uncharacterized. The record is from RefSeq and is a predicted model, not a curated record. NCBI's taxonomy places the organism in Eukaryota, Metazoa, Arthropoda, Arachnida, Ixodida, Ixodidae.
UCAAGACAGGGGUGAAUUUCUGCGCACAAGGACAAAUCUGGAUGGUUUUGUGUAAACUCAAUAGCGAGUCAGCGCAAAUGACACGAAAUCUUUAGGAUCCAUUUUUCAUAGUAAUUAGCACUCGCAAUAUGGUUUUAACUACUCGUUAAUACGGUUGUGUUCUUGCUACCGCAGGCCUUACUGUGAGGGUAACUAGUUGAUGCGGCCGCAACACACUGUGCACUUCAACCAACAAAUAUCCCUGUUUUGUUUAAUAUGCCGCCUUCUUUACUAAGGGUGACUGACGUGUCUUCUCCGGCAAAACUGAGAAAAUGCAGCCGCAAUUACCCAAAUAAUGAGGUUUUACCUCCCAAAAUUACGACAUAUUUACGAGGAAGGCCGCAUUCCGGGACUCCGGAAUCAUUCUGACUCUCUGAGAUUCUUUACCAUGCACUCAGCGCUCGGUAGGCGAGCGUUUCUGCAUUCCGCCCGUACAGGAACAUGGCCACCACUGCCGGGAUCGAGCCCACUACCUCCUGCUCAUCUGCGCAGCGCCACAUACACUCAGCUACCACGGAGGGCGAAUGGCAGGAUGACAGAUGUUAAGCGCUUUUCCGAAGGUGGUAGCCAUCUACACAUCGACAAAUGAUUCUUCCUUCAAGUGUCUGACUGGCAUACGUACAAGCUUCAACUUGGAAGCCAAGACGGCUAGUUACGUGUGGCCACUCAGAGGUCAUGGUGGUACAGAGAGGAGGACUGUUGUUUUCAACAUUACCGCAGGAAACGUUACUGAUCAGAC